GGGCCGUUAGCUCAGUGGAUAGAGCAGCAACCUUCUAAGUUGCGGAGGCGAGUUCGACUCUCGCACGGCCCU
RNAcentral lists this transfer RNA (72 nucleotides) under Chloroflexota bacterium. RNAcentral describes it as "Chloroflexi bacterium tRNA-Arg". It matches the Rfam family "tRNA". Rfam says of the family: Transfer RNA (tRNA) molecules are approximately 80 nucleotides in length. Their secondary structure includes four short double-helical elements and three loops (D, anti-codon, and T loops). The record is from RNAcentral. Lineage: Bacteria; Bacillati; Chloroflexota.